AGUGGCGGACGGGUGAGUAAUGUCUGGGAAACUGCCCGAUGGAGGGGGAUAACUACUGGAAACGGUAGCUAAUACCGCAUAACGUCUUCGGACCAAAGUGGGGGACCUUCGGGCCUCACACCAUCGGAUGUGCCCAGAUGGGAUUAGCUAGUAGGUGGGGUAACGGCUCACCUAGGCGACGAUCCCUAGCUGGUCUGAGAGGAUGACCAGCCACACUGGAACUGAGACACGGUCCAGACUCCUACGGGAGGCAGCAGUGGGGAAUAUUGCACAAUGGGCGCAAGCCUGAUGCAGCCAUGCCGCGUGUAUGAAGAAGGCCUUCGGGUUGUAAAGUACUUUCAGUGGGGAGGAAGGCGAUGAAGUUAAUAACUUCGUCGAUUGACGUUACCCGCAGAAGAAGCACCGGCUAACUCCGUGCCAGCAGCCGCGGUAAUACGGAGGGUGCAAGCGUUAAUCGGAAUUACUGGGCGUAAAGCGCACGCAGGCGGUCUGUCAAGUCGGAUGUGAAAUCCCCGGGCUCAACCUGGGAACUGC
This 534-nucleotide ribosomal RNA is filed under the name Erwinia persicina. RNAcentral's name for it is "bacterial SSU rRNA". It matches the Rfam family "Bacterial small subunit ribosomal RNA", at positions 94 to 624 of the family's 1533-position model. The record is from RNAcentral. Lineage: Bacteria; Pseudomonadati; Pseudomonadota; Gammaproteobacteria; Enterobacterales; Erwiniaceae.